Drosophila willistoni is the source of this 599-nucleotide long non-coding RNA. RefSeq lists it as uncharacterized. NCBI's taxonomy places the organism in Eukaryota, Metazoa, Arthropoda, Insecta, Diptera, Drosophilidae. The record is from RefSeq and is a predicted model, not a curated record. The transcript has 2 exons.
UCAGAAUGCCAUGAUAAAUUUAAAUUAUAUUUUUUCGUGCAUAAUUGAAAAAUGAGGCUUAAUAGUAUAAUACAAUUGUUUUGGCCAAAAACCAUGAUGACAUAUUCACAAGUUUUGACCCAGUUUUUUUUUUUUAUGAUCGAAUACAAAAUCAAGAAGAGAGAAUGGAGAAAAGGGGGAAAAAUGCACAAAUUAGCCAGCAUCAUCAAUCAAAAUUGUAGCAGCAGGAGCAACAUCAGCAAUAGCAAACAAGAACAUUGCAGCAUCCAUACUAGUUUAUCAACUCUCUGCACUGGUGGCUGGCUGAUGGAUUUACCAAAAAGAGAAAAAACCGCAUCAGCGACUUCAGGCCAGCUUACCCUUUUAGGUACGAAGUAAAUUCAAUUGAAAGUGCUUGCCUUACCUGAAAAAAGAAAAACUCUUUCAAUAUGCCUGUAAAUAUCAACAUCAUCAUCAUCGUCAUCAUCAGGUAGACUAGAAAAUAUUCAAAUGAAGUUUACAAAUUGAAUACAAAAUGCCUGCUAGGCAUAUACCAAUAUAUGCUUUUGAUCUUUGCCCAUAUGAUACAUCUAUAUCUAAAUAUAUAUUUUCUACUCUUA